GAUGAACGCUAGCUACAGGCUUAACACAUGCAAGUCGAGGGGCAGCGGUAUCGAAAGCUUGCUUUCGGUAGCCGGCGACCGGCGCACGGGUGAGUAACGCGUAUCGAACCUGCCUCAUACUCGGGAAUAGCCUUGCGAAAGUAAGAUUAAUGCCCGGUGUUUUCAGAGUCCCGCAUGAGGCUUUGAACAAAGAUUUAUCGGUAUGAGAUGGCGAUGCGUCCCAUUAGCUUGUUGGCGGGGUAACGGCCCACCAAGGCAUCGAUGGGUAGGGGUUCUGAGAGGAAGGGCCCCCACAUUGGAACCGAGACACGGUCCAAACUCCUACGGGAGGCAGCAGUGAGGAAUAUUGGUCAAUGGGCGGAAGCCUGAACCAGCCAAGUAGCGUGCAGGAAGACGGCCCUCCGGGUUGUAAACUGCUUUUAGUUGGGAAUAAAACGGGGCUCGUGAGCCCCCUUGCAUGUACCAUCAGAAAAAGGACCGGCUAAUUCCGUG
This 492-nucleotide ribosomal RNA is filed under the name uncultured bacterium. RNAcentral describes it as "partial 16S ribosomal RNA". It matches the Rfam family "Bacterial small subunit ribosomal RNA", at positions 28 to 507 of the family's 1533-position model. The record is from RNAcentral.